AUUGAACGCUGGCGGCAUGCCUUACACAUGCAAGUCGAACGGCAGCACGGGAGCAAUCCUGGUGGCGAGUGGCGAACGGGUGAGUAAAGUAUCGGAACGUGCCCAGUCGUGGGGGAUAACGUAGCGAAAGUUACGCUAAUACCGCAUACGAUCUAUGGAUGAAAGCGGGGGAUCGCAAGACCUCGCGCGAUUGGAGCGGCCGAUAUCAGAUUAGGUAGUUGGUGGGGUAAAGGCUCACCAAGCCGACGAUCUGUAGCUGGUCUGAGAGGACGACCAGCCACACUGGGACUGAGACACGGCCCAGACUCCUACGGGAGGCAGCAGUGGGGAAUUUUGGACAAUGGGCGAAAGCCUGAUCCAGCCAUGCCGCGUGCAGGAAGAAGGCCUUCGGGUUGUAAACUGCUUUUGUACGGAACGAAACGGUCUGGGUUAAUACCCUGGGCUAAUGACGGUACCGUAAGAAUAAGCACCGGCUAACUACGUGCCAGCAGCCGCAGUAA
This 500-nucleotide ribosomal RNA is filed under the name uncultured bacterium. Its description in RNAcentral is "partial 16S ribosomal RNA". It matches the Rfam family "Bacterial small subunit ribosomal RNA", at positions 30 to 523 of the family's 1533-position model. The record is from RNAcentral.